GACGAACGCUGGCGGCGUGCCUAAUACAUGCAAGUUGAGCGAUGAAGAUUGGUGCUUGCUCCAAUUUGAAGAGCAGCGAACGGGUGAGUAACGCGUGGGGAAUCUGCCUUUGAGCGGGGGACAACAUUUGGAAACGAAUGCUAAUACCGCAUAACAACUUUAAACAUAAGUUUUAAGUUUGAAAGAUGCAAUUGCAUCACUCAAAGAUGAUCCCGCGUUGUAUUAGCUAGUUGGUGAGGUAAAGGCUCACCAAGGCGAUGAUACAUAGCCGACCUGAGAGGGUGAUCGGCCACAUUGGGACUGAGACACGGCCCAAACUCCUACGGGAGGCAGCAGUAGGGAAUCUUCGGCAAUGGACGAAAGUCUGACCGAGCAACGCCGCGUGAGUGAAGAAGGUUUUCGGAUCGUAAAACUCUGUUGGUAGAGAAGAACGUUGGUGAGAGUGGAAAGCUCAUCAAGUGACGGUAACUACCCAGAAAGGGACGGCUAACUACGUG
This 497-nucleotide ribosomal RNA is filed under the name uncultured bacterium. RNAcentral describes it as "partial 16S ribosomal RNA". It matches the Rfam family "Bacterial small subunit ribosomal RNA", at positions 28 to 507 of the family's 1533-position model. The record is from RNAcentral.